AGCAGCCGCGGUAAUUCCAGCUCCAAUAGCGUAUAUUAAAGUUGCUGCAGUUAAAAGCUCGUAGUUGAAUUUCGGGAUCAGUAUGUUGGUCGUGCCUUGGUACGUACUGGCUCAUUGGUUUCUCCCUUCUGACGAACCAUGAUGUCAUUAAUUUGAUGUCAUGGGGAAUCAGGACUGUUACUUUGAAAAAUUAGAGUGUUUAAAGCAGGCCCGCGCUUGAAUACAUUAGCAUGGAAUAAUGAAAUAGGACAUUUGAUUCUAUUUUGUUGGUUUCUAGGAUCGAUGUAAUGAUUAAUAGGGAUAGUUGGGGGCAUUAGUAUUCAAUUGUCAGAGGUGAAAUUCUUGGAUUUAUUGAAGACUAACUACUGCGAAAGCAUUUGCCAAGGAUGUUUUCAUUAAUCAAGAACGAAAGUUAGGGGAUCGAAGACGAUCAGAUACCGUCGUAGUCUUAACCAUAAACUAUGCCGACUAGGGAUCGGAUGAUGUUAAUUUUUAAUGAC
RNAcentral lists this ribosomal RNA (500 nucleotides) under uncultured Glomus. RNAcentral describes it as "SSU rRNA". It matches the Rfam family "Eukaryotic small subunit ribosomal RNA", at positions 569 to 1075 of the family's 1831-position model. Lineage: Eukaryota; Fungi; Glomeromycota; Glomeromycetes; Glomerales; Glomeraceae. The record is from RNAcentral.